This 617-nucleotide ribosomal RNA is filed under the name uncultured bacterium. RNAcentral describes it as "bacterial SSU rRNA". It matches the Rfam family "Bacterial small subunit ribosomal RNA", at positions 15 to 648 of the family's 1533-position model. The record is from RNAcentral.
GGGCGUGGUGCGCGGCGCGCCGCGCCGCGCCUAACACAUGCAAGUCGAACGAGAGAGAAGGAGCUUGCUUCUUCGAUCGAGUGGCGAACGGGUGAGUAACGCGUGAGGAACCUGCCUCAAAGAGGGGGACAACAGUUGGAAACGACUGCUAAUACCGCAUAAGCCCACGGGUCGGCAUCGACCAGAGGGAAAGGGAGCAAUCCGCUUUGAGAUGGCCUCGCGUCCGAUUAGCUAGUUGGUGAGGUAAUGGCCCACCAAGGCGACGAUCGGUAGCCGGACUGAGAGGUUGAACGGCCACAUUGGGACUGAGACACGGCCCAGACUCCUACGGGAGGCAGCAGUGGGGAAUAUUGCACAAUGGGGGAAACCCUGAUGCAGCGACGCCGCGUGGAGGAAGAAGGUCUUCGGAUUGUAAACUCCUGUUGUUGAGGAAGAUAAUGACGGUACUCANCNNGGAAGUGACGGCUAACUACGUGCCAGCAGCCGCGGUAAAACGUAGGUCACAAGCGUUGUCCGGAAUUACUGGGUGUAAAGGGAGCGCANGCGGGAAGACAAGUUGGAAGUGAAAUCCAUGGGCUCAACUCAUGAACUGCUUUCAAAACUGUUUUUCUUGAGUA